RNAcentral lists this ribosomal RNA (816 nucleotides) under uncultured bacterium. Its description in RNAcentral is "bacterial SSU rRNA". It matches the Rfam family "Bacterial small subunit ribosomal RNA", at positions 56 to 918 of the family's 1533-position model. The record is from RNAcentral.
UGCAAGUCGAACGAACCUUCGGGUUAGUGGCGGACGGGUGAGUAACGCGUGAGAAUCUGCCCUCAGGAGGGGGAUAACAGUUGGAAACGACUGCUAAUACCCCAUAUGCCGAGAGGUGAAACUAAUUUCGCCUGGGGAUGAGCUCGCGUCUGAUUAGCUUGUUGGUGGGGUAAUGGCCUACCAAGGCUUUGAUCAGUAGCUGGUCUGAGAGGACGAUCAGCCACACUGGGACUGAGACACGGCCCACACUCCUACGGGAGGCAGCAGUGGGGAAUUUUCCGCAGUGGGCGAAAGCCUGACGGAGCAACGCCGCGUGAGGGAUGAAGGCCUUUGGGCUGUAAACCUCUUUUCUCAAGGAAGAAGAUCUGACGGUACUUGAGGAAUAAGCCACGGCUAAUUCCGUGCCAGCAGCCGCGGUAAUACGGGAGUGGCAAGCGUUAUCCGGAAUUAUUGGGCGUAAAGCGUCCGCAGGCGGCCGUUUAAGUCUGUUGUUAAAUUGUGGAGCUCAACUCCAUCACGGCAAUGGAAACUGUUCGGCUUGAGUAUGGUAGGGGCAGAGGGAAUUUCCGGUGUAGCGGUGAUAUGCGUAGAUAUCGGGAAGAACACCUGUGGCGAAAGCGCUCUGCUGGGCCAUUACUGACGCUCAUGGACGAAAGCCAGGGGAGCGAAAUGGAUUAGAUACCCAUGUAGUCCUGGCCGUAAACGAUGAACACUAGAUGUUGGGGGAAUCGACCCCCUCAGUGUCGUAGCUAACGCGUUAAGUGUUCCGCCUGGGGAGUACGCACGCAAGUGUGAAACUCAAAGGAAUUGACGGGG